RNAcentral lists this ribosomal RNA (897 nucleotides) under uncultured bacterium. Its description in RNAcentral is "bacterial SSU rRNA". It matches the Rfam family "Bacterial small subunit ribosomal RNA", at positions 8 to 916 of the family's 1533-position model. The record is from RNAcentral.
AGAGUUUGAUCAUGGCUCAGGAUGAACGCUGGCGGCGUGCCUAAUACAUGCAAGUCGAACGGGAGACCUGGUUUCGACCGGGUUGAGAGUGGCGCACGGGUGAGGAACACAUGGCUGACUUGCCCUUCAGAGGGGGAUAACGGCUGGAAACGGCUGCUAAUACCCCAUACGCUCCUUGGGAUUAGAGGCCUGAGGAGGAAAGCCUUCGGGUGCUGAAGGAGGGGGCUGUGGCCCAUCAGCUUGUUGGUAGGGUAACGGCCUACCAAGGCGACGACGGGUAGGGGGCCUGAGAGGGUGACCCCCCACACUGGGACUGAGACACGGCCCAGACUCCUACGGGAGGCAGCAGUAAGGGAUCUUGCGACAAUGGGCGAAAGCCUGACGCAGCAACGCCGCGUGCGGGAGGACGGCCUUCGGGUUGUAAACCGCUUUUCGGGGGGAAGAGGAAGGACGGUACCCCCGGAAGAAGUCUCGGCUAACUACGUGCCAGCAGCCGCGGUAAAACGUAGGAGGCGAGCGUUAUCCGGAUUUACUGGGUGUAAAGCGCGUGUAGGCGGUCCUGCAAGUGGUGCGUGAAAGCGCCCGGCUCAACCGGGCGAGGACGUGGGCGAACUGCAGGGCUAGAGGCAGGUAGAGGCGUGUGGAAUUCCGGGUGUAGUGGUGAAAUGCGUAGAGAUCCGGAGGAACACCGGUGGCGAAGGCGACACGCUGGGCCUGGCCUGACGCUGAGAGGCGAAAGCAUGGGGAGCGAACGGGAUUAGAAACCCCGGUAGUCCAUGCCGUAAACGAUGCUGACUAGGUGUGGCGGGUAUGAACUCCUGCCGUGCCGGAGCCAACGUGGUAAGUCAGCCACCUGGGGACUACGGCCGCAAGGUUAAAACUCAAAUGAAUUGACGG